RNAcentral lists this ribosomal RNA (253 nucleotides) under uncultured bacterium. RNAcentral describes it as "partial 16S ribosomal RNA". It matches the Rfam family "Bacterial small subunit ribosomal RNA", at positions 524 to 776 of the family's 1533-position model. The record is from RNAcentral.
UACGUAGGGGGCUAGCGUUGUCCGGAAUCAUUGGGCGUAAAGCGCGUGUAGGCGGUUCGGUAAGUCCGCUGUGAAAGUCGGGGGCUCAACCCUCGGAUGCCGGUGGAUACUGUCGGACUAGAGUACGGAAGAGGCGAGUGGAAUUCCUGGUGUAGCGGUGAAAUGCGCAGAUAUCGGGAGGAACACCAAUGGCGAAGGCAGCUCGCUGGGACGGUACUGACGCUGAGACGCGAAAGCGUGGGGAGCAAACAGG